This 731-nucleotide ribosomal RNA is filed under the name uncultured bacterium. RNAcentral describes it as "bacterial SSU rRNA". It matches the Rfam family "Bacterial small subunit ribosomal RNA", at positions 771 to 1501 of the family's 1533-position model. The record is from RNAcentral.
AACAGGAUUAGAUACCCUGGUAGUCCAUGCCGUAAACGAUGAGUGCUAGGUGUUGGAGGGUUUCCGCCCUUCAGUGCCGGAGCUAACGCAUUAAGCACUCCGCCUGGGGAGUACGACCGCAAGGUUGAAACUCAAAGGAAUUGACGGGGGCCCGCACAAGCGGUGGAGCAUAUGGUUUAAUUCGAAGCUACGCGAAGAACCUUACCAGGUCUUGACAUCUUGCGCCAACCCUAGAGAUAGGGCGUUUCCUUCGGGAACGCAAUGACAGGUGGUGCAUGGUCGUCGUCAGCUCGUGUCGUGAGAUGUUGGGUUAAGUCCCGCAACGAGCGCAACCCUUGUUACUAGUUGCCAGCAUUAAGUUGGGCACUCUAGUGAGACUGCCGGUGACAAACCGGAGGAAGGUGGGGACGACGUCAGAUCAUCAUGCCCCUUAUGACCUGGGCUACACACGUGCUACAAUGGACGGUACAACGAGUCGCGAACUCGCGAGGGCAAGCAAAUCUCUUAAAACCGUUCUCAGUUCGGACUGCAGGCUGCAACUCGCCUGCACGAAGUCGGAAUCGCUAGUAAUCGCGGAUCAGCAUGCCGCGGUGAAUACGUUCCCGGGCCUUGUACACACCGCCCGUCACACCAUGAGAGUUUGUAACACCCAAAGUCGGUGGGGUAACCUUUUAGGAGCCAGCCGCCUAAGGUGGGACAGAUGAUUAGGGUGAAGUCGUAACAAGGUAACC